UACGCCUGAGUGUUAGCCCCGGCUCUAUCCAAACUCUGAGCCUAAGCCAACCUUAACCAGUUGGGGCCUGAACAGCGGCUGGGGCUGUGCUUCAGCUGCCCAAACCAGCCCUGUGGAGCUCCCAGGCUACCAGCCAGAUUGCCAGCCCCAAAACACCCCGUGCAGCCUCUUGCAGCCCUCCCUGGCCUGGGCUCUGUUCUGCCUGUACAGAGCUACUGGCACCGCUGAAGCAUGCAACCCCAUCAAGUCCUGCACGCACAUCUCCAGCUUGCACAGGAUAAGAAAUCCAGCUGCUAGGAGACUGGGAAAGGGUAAACUGAUCCCACGUUUCCCCUUUUUUGUGCUUGUACCUAGGCCAUGCUAUCCACAUGCAUUUCUGUCUUUGGACUGUUUGAGGGGUAAAACUCCCUGCUAGGUUAAGAUACUGCUGCUAGCAGUAGGAAAGGGAGCAGACUGGCCAGCCACAUAUGCUGGAUUAUGUUCCUGGGCUGAACUCCAGAGCCUUCAGUUUUAUUAUCUAAUUACCCAACCAAACUCAUUCAUCUUUAUUUUUCAGUCUUACCCAGAGACCCAUGUUUAAACACGGCUCUGCUAUGUGAAGCGCUGCCCAGACACUCUCCACUUGGAAGCACUCACAGUUUCUCAGCUCAGACUGUUUUCUUAGUGUAAAGGAUGCAUGGCAGAAAUCCCAGCCCUGGUCAGCUGCAGUGGUCUACACUGGGCAGUGCUGAGGGACCAAUGUGGCUGCAUUAUUGCAGGGAACUGUACCAUGGGAGCAAGGGAAAUGAAAUAAACUCUCAUUUUAUAUCAUGACAGCAUAGCUAGACGUAGUCUUCAUCAUCAGUGUAACAAAGGAUUGUUAGAUUGCAUACAGGAUCACUCACUAUGUGGUGUGACUCAGAGUGCUUUGUGGUAUGACACGCCGUGAUAUAUGGUUUUAUGACCAAGAACAAAUGCCGACAGCCGGGGGAAAAAUCCAACAAGUCAAUGAUAAGGCAGGAACAUAUCCCUGGAACCCAUGAGGGCACCAACACCGGUGUUCCCCUCCUUUUGCUCUUCAGGUCAAAGCAGGAGCUUGGCCCUGUCCCCAUCCUUGUGACCGUGGUGCUGUGUGGCUGGACACCGCUCCCGGCCAUGGCUUACUGAGCACCAGACCGCCGGCCCGAGGCCUUCCCACCACAUCUUAGUGCCGCGUGUGACUCACACACCAGGUAGGGACAGAGGCUCCCGAUUAGCUUAACCCUGCCCCUGGGAGGGGCCUACCUUAUAAAUACGCUGCUUUGACUAUGCUCCUCGUCCUCGUUUCCUAGGGGAAUGCGGGUAGUGGUAGGUUCGGGUAGCAUCCGGAGCAGGUCAAUGGCUACAAAGGGCUCAAGCAGAAAACUUUCCUCCGGAUCCAGCAGCAGUCCUAUUUGCUCUCCAGCUUGCACGGGCUGUGUUGGGAAAAGGCAGAGAGAGAUGGCAGAGGCUGCAGAGCACGAGGCCGCCGUCUCACCAGCUUGCUGUUGUUUUUGAGAGAGGAGACGCGGAGAGCGGCCCUCGUACGGCCCUCGUACAGCCCUUCCUCCUCAGGGGCCCUUUGCAGAAGGAGCCCUCCUGUGCCGCUCCCCAGCACGCACCCUGCUGGAGCUGGGGCUCGGUCCCGUAGGAGCCGGGCCGGGAGCGCGGCCGCUGGCGGAGCGCGGCGUGGGAGGUGUCGGGUGCUGUGCCGCGUGAGGAGCCUGAAAGCAGGAGCUGUCAGCGGGACAACGGAGUUGUUUGGCAAGACAGGUGGCUGUGGGGUCUCCUUGGUCAGCAGGAUUGGAAAAGAGCCAUCAUCUGCUUCCUUGAUGUCUGCCAGCCCACGUGAUUGACAGAAAGCAGCACAGUUUGGAGCAACGUCCCUGGGAGGGGGAGGAACAGAUGUUUGAACCAGAAGCGUAUGUGACAGUUGGGAGAGACAGCAUGGAAACGCACCAUUGAAAGGAGAAGUCUGACGGGAGUGUGAUGACAGCAGCGGGACUCCAGUGACAGGGAGUGGGAAGGAGAACAAGCAGAGAGGAGUGUUACUUCGAAAGCCAAGCAAAGUGCACAAGAGGAUGUGUCAGGAAAGCAUCAGGGAAAGGAAGAGAGGAAUUGUGAGAGUAGAGGCGGGCUUUGGGAUCUGUCUGAAGCAUGUGUGACCUGCUGCCUGACAAUUGGAGAAGGGAAAGCCUCUUCUUCCACCAAGUCAACUCUCCAGGCAGCCAGGCUGGCCAGUUCAGCUGGAGCCCUCAGCAUCCCAUUAGCCUGUGGGAGGAAAGCUGUGUGCACCAGGGCCCUGGGGUAAAACAUGCAGGGGCUGGGGGCUGCCCAGGCCCUUCUUCAGCCUGAGGUCUUUGUGAAGAGCACAGCACCCACGUGCCUUGGGACUGUGAGGUGCUAGAAACAGAGGGAGCACUGCUAUCCUCACAGCAGGCUUCCCCUGAACACACAGUGAUUGUAAAGACAGGAUGCAUGAGGAGAGGAAGAACAGCAAGCGCGUGCUCCUGCAGCAGGGAGGGGCUCUCCAGCAGCGCUGUUCCGUGGUGAUAUAAAUCACCUCUCUGCAGUGUCCAGUUUUACCUUAGUUCAGCAGAUGUGCAAGGCACCCUGGGAGCGUGCGCCAGAGUGGCAAACCAUCAGUACAGGGGCUGUGAGCAGGGGGAGGGGGCUGCAACUUCUCCCACGGAUGGAUCUAUGAGUGCAGUUCUGCAGAGCCCUUCCUGCACAGGAUUCACCUUUGAUCCUCCCACAUGGUGCGGCUCGAGUGAUGCAAGCUGGCCAAUUCUGCUUUGCCCCUUCCUGUAGGGAGGGGGGAUUUCUCUAAGUAGGGGAUGAGUCUCAAAAUGCAUUAGCAGAGUGAUUGUUAGAUAGCCCACAGCCACAGGGCUGGCUGUGCCAAGGGCUGGUACGUGUCUCUGAAUGGCGCGUGGCUGGUGGCUCUCUCCCCCUUGACACAAACUCAUGUCCUGCAGUGCAAUCCUAGCAAAUGAGGGGACAGCCUGGCAGUAUGGCCUGCACGGGCGUGCGAGGGAACAGUCUGUACAGGCUGGCAGCACUAAUGUUUCCCAGGGUUGCACCAGUACCUUUCUCCUUCUCCUCAGCACCCUUCAGACUGCGCUGCUUAUGAGGCUGGGACCUCCCAGGAGCAGUGGGACCAGUGGGUAGAGGGGCUGUGCGGGUUGAGGUGUUAGUUGGGCUAUUUGUUACGAGGGGAAGAAUGAGGGGAAAGCAGGGGGAGUCUGUCUUCCUUGCUGGGGUGAGUACUCCUGGUGGGGAUGGUUCAUCCCAUACGUGCUGUUGCAUUCAGGUGUUUGCUCAUUGUGCCAGCUCCCAUGCAAGACCUGGAGCAGGACCAGGGGUUCUGCAGGCAUCCCGCUGCUCUGAAGCUGCCCCAGUCACUAAGCCGGGCCUUGCUGGCCCAUGUGCCAUUGCGCGACAGCACAGGGUGUCUCAGGGGAGACAACCAUCUUCAUUGAUGGCAGCAAGCAAGUUCCCUUGGGCUGGUCCUGCCGUCUGCUCACCUGCUGCUGAGCGUCCCUGCAGGUGGGGAGCUGUGCCCAGGGCUCCCUGCAGGCAGGUGGGAGGCACCCACUGGUGGUGGUGGUCCAGUGCUCUCAGUGAAGGUGCCACUGGAGGAACAGCUUGAUGGAGGUAUGUUCACGGCUUGGCAAAAGGGUGUUUAUGCGAAAAACUGAAGGGUAGACUCAUAGAAUGGCUUGGGAUAAAAGGGGUCAUAAAGAUCACCCAGUUCCAGCCGCUGCCGUGGAUCCACUGUCUUCCUCCUCCUUCAUUCAGAGCAGAUGUCGCAGGCUCAUGGCAAGGAAGGGUUCAGGCCAUGUAGGUGAUGUAAAGGCAAUGCAGGCUUCCCCUCUAUCCAGUGUGGUGUCGGUGAGGAAAGGCACAGAGAAGGAGGCACUGCCAGCAUUUUCACCCAGGAGGGACAAACUUUGUAGCUGAAUAGGGCUGAAUAACACCCAGACAUCUUGUUCUGUAUAGCAGAAUUGCACCUUUCUUCCUAUUAACUUGCACCGGUCUUGGCUUUGACUUCAGUAGGAGUCAGGGUCAGACCCAGGGUAUAUUAUCUAAAGUUACUCACGCAGCUGCUGAAAUUAAAAUCUCAUGAGCAAGGGUCUGUCUCCACUGCAGUCUCAAAGCAGAAUAAUAGUGUGGCCUUUAGUCUCUGGAGAUAGUUUUAAAACCUUCUCAAGGUCUGUGCUCGUUGUGAAAAAAAUAAUUCAUACAAUACUCGCCACAUCUGACAGAGUUGGCAGCCUUUGUUCAAUACGGUAACAGUGCUGUGCACCGAAUUAAUCAGGGAUUCGACUCCACGCAGCCUUGUGCCUGGGAAGCAGCGCAUUGCCAAGCCCUGAAAAGAUGUGGGGGCAUUGCAGGGAGCACAGGCUGCAGGAGAGCAUGUGUGAUCUCUGUCUCAGCCAUACCAGCCUGGGCUUGCUCAGAAGCUUUCCUUAGGACCACUGGCGUGAGUUGCUCUUGCUGUCGCUGCAGUUGUGCUCACAGAGCAGUAUAUCACCCGGCAUUUUAUGCUUGGCUGGGAAAGGCAGCCUGAAUCCCUUGCUGCACAGCGAGCUGACAGGCUAGGGGCCGACUCACAAUCCUCAGCAUUUCUUAUUUACUACAGACCUCUUAAAUGAAGGCUGUGAGAUUUUCUCAUUUACCAUGUUGCUGUAUGGAACCAAUGACUAUAAAUUUAAAUGGCGAGCUGGUAGGAGCACACUUACCUUUUAUACAAUAAUUGCGAGAGUGCUGCUGCUGAACUGCUGUUAGGAUUAUUCAGACCUGCUCAGGUUUCACUGUAAAACAUUAAGCUGCAAGAGGUACUGUAAGGUGUGAUUAUUCUAAGAGGGUGAGUAGUAGUAGUAAGCACUGCUGGCAGAAUUACUACAGGAGACAGGGAAGGCUUGGUAGCUGGGAGCAGAGGGAGCUGAGGAGUAUAACCUGCCAUUCAGAAGUACUGCCUUUGUGUGAGGUCCUGCCUGAUUCGUCUGGUCUGCACUGCCUUGAUCCUGAAAUUGUCACCAGGCAUCACCCGAACCCUUGCUGAGCGUAGGUGUCAGCUCUGGGCCCAGCACUCCUCUGGGGAGCUGAAAACAUGGAGACAGUAAUGCAGCAAAAGUGUCAUGCCGGUGCUUGAGCCACUGUGGUUAUGCUGGUUUGGGGCAGCUGUGCUCUUCAUUUGGUGGACCUGCUGGCAAAGACCUGCCUGGGUCUGGCCAAGUGGGCAGAGGAGAUCCAUGGGCUCGGAUCAAAGGGACCUCAGCUCUUCCAGCCAGCAGAGACCUCCCCCAGCAAGGCAGCCCAGCUGCGAUGCCCACGCUGCUUCUCCUGAGCAGUGUGGGAGAGCGGGCACAACUGGUUUGUUGGAUGGGCAGUGCCUGGCCUAGGGCUGCCAGCCCAGCACAAGCAGACAAGGGACCUGGGCUGGGCUGGUGGCCCUCAAGCUGGCUGCUGCCUGGGGGCCAGCACUCUGCUUGGAGCGCUGCCUGGUGCUGGGAAGGCUCCGGCUGAGCGUGCUCAGCUGCCCUGCUUCAGGCACUGCCACAUCCCCCCGGGAAGGACAAGGUACUUGCAGCUUCUGGUGGGAGCGAGGGAGAAAAGAGCAGUGCUGAAUGUAUGCUCCUAAGCUGCCUUGAUUUUCACCUGUGAUUGAGAUUUUGAUUUUGCGUCCUGUAUUAUUUUCCUGUUAUAACACACACCUCUUGGCUGUCACUACAACAAUGCCUUUUCUUGGCAGGGAAGGCAAAUCUGAAAGCAAACUCUUGAGCACUCUACUGUGCAAGUUCCUCAGAUGAUGGUUGUGUUUCUCCCCCUCAUUCCACCCGUUUUCAAAUAAUUUUCAUGCUGGGACUAUAUCUGAGCGCAUAACAAUAAUGUUCAACAUAUGAUAACCAGAGACAAUUGUGUAUAUAUACAAGCAGCCACAUGGAAAACAAAUGAGCUGCUGGAAAAGCAGGAAAAAAAAGUGCAAGAUGAACUAGAGAGCACAGGUACCAUUUUCACAGUAAGACCACGUAACUUUGCCAUUUCCAGAUAACUACUCUUCUCUUUGCUUUUCCUUUCUCCAUGAGGAAAAUAGGAUUGUGCAAAAACAUUUUUAGUUACUAAUUUUUUUUUUCUCACCAACUCAUGCAAAACUAUCUCCCGUCAAGCAGUGUGUUACAGGCUAGUUAUACAUACAAAUUCAGCUUUGUGUUGCUUUCCUGAGCUUUAUCUAGGAAAUUCCAUUGAAUUGGGGUCUUGUGUCUGGAGCUCAGGACGGCAGUGUAUGAGGUCUAAACUAUUUGGAUAUUUUUAAAUGCCACAUAUACCGGGAUGCUGCUCUCCUGAAAGUGUGCCGUCUGUAAUGAUACAGGGAAGGAAGUUUGGCAGGUUUUUGAUAUCUUUUUUUUUUUCUUUUAAUCUCUUCAGUAUGUUUGUCUUCCUUUUAUGAUUGAAGCUAUUUUUCUUGGAAAGGCAUCUACUUUUAGUUAGGGAAAAGAACAAAGCUGAGACGUUUUGGAAGAAUUUUAUCAAACGCCUUUAUCUUGAUAAGAGAAGUAAUAAAAAAAAAUUUGUUAAUUGACUUCAGUGAAAUCUUUGAUGCAUAUACAAUAUGCACCCUUGGUCUCAAUAGGAAAUGUCUUUUAAACCUGAAAUGGCUUAGUAAACCUGAAAGAAAGUUGAAAUAGUUGCAAAUGUGGGGAGGAAGCUUACUUUUCUUUAUGAUGGUUCAUAGUGUAUGUACACAUACAUAUCUGUGUCUCUGCAAGGAAUGUGCACGCCCAAACCUUAUCACUUUAAUAAGCAGUUACAGUGAAAGUGUUUCUGUUUGCUCAUUGUAAUGCUCCUACACUCCUAUACAAAACAGGAAUUAAACGUGUUAACAAAGCAGAUGUUCAACAAAUGUAAAGGAAGAACAAUAAUUCAGGAGUAUUUGACAGAAAUGUGAACCCUUUAUUAUUUUUUUUUUCCUUCUAAAUAAGUUGCUCCUUCCCCAUCAGCAAGAAUAUGUGUAUGCACCUGUUGGUAGCAACCAGCUAGAAUAUGACUCCAACAUGCAUUAUGGGAAAUGCACGCUUUUCAGUAAUGCAGAUACCUCCAUGGAAGUCCCAGCUGUGCACUGCAACACUCCCCUCCUCCUCUUCAUUGCUUCACCAUCCUGUUGCCUCUUCUACUUCCCUGUUGUCCCACUGAGUGUUGUACCUCAAUGGGAUGGCAGAAGGGUUUAGCUUCCUCGGCUUUCUUCGUGCUCUAGUGUCUCAGCUCAGACCCGUGCUCAUUGCUGGGCACUGCUUGGGAAUGACCUGGAGCUGUGGUCUUCCACCUGGCCCCAGCCCCUGGGUGCUGCUAGCAGUCUGGCCCGUGCCAGCACACGUCUAUGAAGGCAUUUACUGGGGUAUUCUCAUGGGAUCUGUGGUCCUUGUCAAUCUCCAGGCCUUGAGGUAGCUACUGGAAAGGUAGCUUGGUGCGUCUGCAGGAGGCUGUCAUACCCCACCUUGAUUAUAGUGUAGCUGCGUAUGAAGCGCUGUUACUGAAAAUAUUCCUGCCUUCUUGAUAGGUUAAUUGGUGGCAUUUAGUUAACUGUGUGUAUUAUCUUGUAGCAGAAUUAAAUCUAGAGGUAGGCAACUGAUCAGUUUUUCAACAGAGUCACUCAAGUCUGCUGCCACAGGAGGCCUACCUGAACGCCCCGUGGCUUCCAGUUGUUGGAGCUGCUCUUUUCUGCCUGUUGCUAUGGUGAAAUGAUAGCACCAAACUGAUACCAAAAAGGAAGCAAUGUUUUCUCAACAGAUUUAUGAGGAAAAAAAAAAUAGGGGAUGGAAAGGAUAUGGGGGAGAAAGGGAAGAAAGAAAAAAAGCUUAAGGAACACGGAGGGGUUUCCUAAGCUAGCGCUCGUCUCUCUGUUUACCUGAAGGCCCACCGAGCCCUUUGAAGAGGAUCCAAGAACCAUCCGGUGCAGCACUACCCUGGUGGGUUCAUUUUACAACCUGUUAUGCGUUCCCCUAAACUGUAAAUACUAAUUUUCUUGCGUUUUUUUCCUUGCAUUUUAUGUGGGUAAGUGCAUAUAGGCAGCGUGCUCAUUUUGUAGCUCCACGGCUGGUCUCAGGGAGCAGCGUUGUGCUGGUCACAGGUCAAGAAAAGCGCCGUAGUCUCCUCCUCUGCAGGACCAGUGCUGUCUGUUCUUUCUGACAAUUACAUUUUUAACCUGUCUUGAGGCUCUGCAGUGUGGGCAGUGUAUUUCCCAUGGGCUGCUGUCACCCUGUGGUCUCCUGUUCUGUCACCACAGGCCCUUCAGCCCACAGCUCUGAGGGAGAGAGCUCCUUCCUCCUCCUCUUUGGCCAAGGAGCUCGUGCUGAGCUACACAUCAGGAGUGGGCUAUGGCCAGACUUAAAGCUUUCUUUGGAAGUGUGCUGUGAGGUAGCCUAGCACCAGGAGCCUGCCUCUUGCGGAAUGGCUCCUCAGUUUGGACACUAGUGGUUCCGAUGGAUGAUCUGGUCUCUGUGCCGUGUGCUGGCCCAGUCCUGGUUUGAUGCGUGAGCAGUGGUGGGAUGGCCAAGGAAAGGAGGAUCCUGUGUCCAGGCAUUGCUUGGGGGAGUAGGUGUAGGGAGUAGGGGGCACUGAGAGUUUUGGAAACAGCUAUCUGAUGUUCUGAAACCAGCUCUGAUAGCAACAGCAUCAGAAACUGGGAAUUACAUAUGCAGUGGCAGCUUUCUUGUCCCCGUGCCAGCCCUUCUGAUUGCUUCCAUUAGUGUCUGAACCAAGCCUCGGCCACCUCGUCAUCAGCUUCUUUCCAAUGUGGGGGCAUGUCUCCUUUGUGUCUGAUCCUUCGCUGGGCUGCUGGGGGGCUGUAAUUGCUCUGGGCUCCUGAUGGAGGUCCUUGGUCUGCUGUCACAGUGGGACUGCAAGAACUUGUAUUGCAUUGAAUGUGCUCUUGAUUACUUGCCAAUUAAAGCAGAAGAAAAACACAGUCCUCUUCUUUAGAACUGCACCUCCUCUGAAGGCUGAGGUAAAUGUAUAGAGAGUUUCUAGUUGUCCUGUCUCCAGUUGUCCUGGCUCCUUACUUUUAGUGUUUGGCUUCGGUGGGCUAGGUAGGUGGAUGCUUUUUUUUUUUUUUUUUCCUCCAAUACCUUUAAAUUUCUGUUGUGUUAUGUGAAAGCAGGAACACCCUUAUGAAGCUGGAGGAGUCAGAGUUUGCUCACUGGGGUUCCAGGGUUUUGGGUAAGACCUCUUUAAAAAGAAGAGACACGGAAGCAGGUGGUCUUGUGGUAGCUGAGCAUGAGAUACCUGAGCAAAGCAUGCCAUGGAAGGAAGGAUGCGUUAGGUGAGGGAGCAGAGAGGCACAGGAGUGUAAGGAGGCAGCAUGCAGGGGACAUGCAAUUUCCAGGAAUCUGGCAGCGUGGGAGGUGCUGCGCUGUGGCGGCCAAUCUCCCGGAGCAGGUGUGCAGGGGCAAGGUGCCUGCUGCCACCCCCUGCGCUGCCUGGCAGCUUGUGCUGGGAGAGAGCCAGGUCCGAGGUGUGAAGGGAAGCAAAAAGAGAGGGGAAGAAGGGAGAGAAGAAGGAAGAGAAAGCCAAGAGAAGGAACAAUGUGACAAGAAGCGGGAGGGAGCUCACCUUCAAAGGUAGCCAUGGGUUUCUGUUUAUCUUACCAGUGUUUGUACUGCAAGGAGGUUUUGAACUGCUGCCUAAUAUGACUGUCAGUUAUUCUAACUUGUAUUUCUCACCUCAGUCCCCAUGAAGUGCAUUUGACAAUAAUUAAUUUUGUGUGUGCAACUGGGAACGUCUCCUACUCCUGCAGAGGUGUCAGCUUAAUGGGAUGUGGCCAUGCAGGAUAACAGGCUGUGCCGCCCCAUUAGGGGAUUGGGGGUGGGGGGGGGUCAUCUGUUCAUCUGGACUAAUAUUUUAAUUGUUGGAGCACUAGGUUUCCCAGAGUUGAAGUGGGAUCAGAUUAACCUCUGUCUCUCUGAACUUGCAUGCUGGCAAGCUCCUAAAACACUUGCUAAUUUUAUUUUCUAUUUUCAUCACGUAUUUAAGAUAACU
Molecule: long non-coding RNA, 10035 nt
Organism: Numida meleagris (helmeted guineafowl)
Lineage: Eukaryota; Metazoa; Chordata; Aves; Galliformes; Numididae
Exons: 3
Source: RefSeq, a predicted model, not a curated record